Rhinopithecus roxellana (golden snub-nosed monkey) is the source of this 416-nucleotide long non-coding RNA. RefSeq lists it as uncharacterized. NCBI's taxonomy places the organism in Eukaryota, Metazoa, Chordata, Mammalia, Primates, Cercopithecidae. The transcript is spliced from 3 exons. The record is from RefSeq and is a predicted model, not a curated record.
AUACCUGGUUUGGCUUCAUUAGGACAGUGUCAGCUUCCCUCUGCAUCUAUUACUGACAUUCCCAGGACCCACUCUCCUGCCGUCUGCCUCUCUUCUCCCAGGAAAAGAUCUUAAGAGGCUGUGAUGGCUGCUUUAUUGGCGGCUUAGGCUAUUUGAUGUUGCUGAUGAUGGAGCUGGAGGCUGGGCUGGACGAUGGCCCGAGGACAGCGACCACCCCCUUGGGGAGGAUCUGACACACUGCAGCCGGCGGCAGGGACAGGGAAAGAAGCAAGGCACUCAUCAGUACAAAAACAAGAUAGAGAAAUAAAAGAGCAGAGUCAAGAUUCAACAGCUCCACCCAGUUCCCCAAAGACCAGCCCCUUCACCACUGCACCACACAGCCAUCCCCAGCAAGUGGCAAUUAACUGGGAUGUUUG